AGCAGAGAUGCUUUAGUGCCUUCGGGAACUCUGAGACAGGUGCUGCAUGGCUGUCGUCAGCUCGUGUUGUGAAAUGUUGGGUUAAGUCCCGNAACGAGCGCAACCCUUAUCCUUGUUGCCAGCACGUAAUGGUGGGAACUCAAAGGAGACUGCCGGUGAUAAACCGGAGGAAGGUGGGGAUGACGUCAAGUCAUCAUGGCCCUUACGAGUAGGGCUACACACGUGCUACAAUGGCGCAUACAAGGAGAAGCGACCUCGCGAGAGCAAGCGGACCUCAUAAAGUGCGUCGUAGUCCGGAUUGGAGUCUGCAACUCGACUCCAUGAAGUCGGAAUCGCUAGUAAUCGUAAAUCAGAAUGUUACGGUGAAUACGUUCCCGGGCCUUGUACACACCGCCCGUCACACCAUGGGAGUGGGUUGCAAAAGAAGUAGAUAGCUUAACCUUCGGGAGGGCGUUUACCACUUUGUGAUUCAUGACUGGGGUGAAGUCGUAACAAGGUAAGCGUAGUGCU
Molecule: ribosomal RNA, 510 nt
Filed under: uncultured bacterium
Lineage: Bacteria
Description: bacterial SSU rRNA
Rfam family: Bacterial small subunit ribosomal RNA
Source: RNAcentral